CAGCAGUCAAGAAUAUUAGUCAAUGGCCUAACGGCUGAACUGGCAACUUGGAGAAGUGGCAAGUCUUCCAGUAUGGGGAGCAAAACAGCUAUGGGUCAAGUCUGAUAUCUUUAGGAGGGGGGAAGCUCCUCUUAUUGUGAGGGCGAGUUAUAUAACACCAUAGGACUGGCCGUCCCAUAUGAAAAGAUUAUAUUAGAAUUGAAUGAAGCUUUGUUUAUAUAUUGAUAAUGACAGUAUAUAUAUCGUGUCUUGACUAAUUGCGUGCCAGCAGUCGCGGUAAUACGUAAGAGACUAGUGUUAUUCAUCUUAAUUAGGUUUAAAGGGUACCCAGACGGUCAAUAUAGCUUAUAAAAUGUUAGUACUUGACUAGAGUUUUAUGUAAGAGGGCAGUACUUGAGGAGGAGAGAUGAAAUUUCGUGAUACCAAAGGGACUCUGUAAAGGCGAAGGCAGCCCUCUAUGUAAAAACUGACGUUGAAGGACGAAGGCACAGAGAACAAACAGGAUUAGAUACCCAAGUAGUCUUUGCAGUAAAUGAUGAAUGCCAUAGGUUAGAUGGGUGGGCUCGUCUAGUUGAGUUAGCUUAGCAAACUAAUGAUCUAGGUGAGCCCACAAUAUAUUUGGUCUAUAAAUGAAAGUGUAAGCAUUUCACCUCAAGAGUAAUGUGGCAACGCAGGAACUGAAAUCACUAGACCGUUUCUGACACCAGUAGUGAAGUAUGUUAUUUAAUUCGAUAAUCCGCA
RNAcentral lists this ribosomal RNA (741 nucleotides) under Fusarium sacchari. RNAcentral describes it as "SSU rRNA". It matches the Rfam family "Bacterial small subunit ribosomal RNA", at positions 349 to 963 of the family's 1533-position model. Lineage: Eukaryota; Fungi; Ascomycota; Sordariomycetes; Hypocreales; Nectriaceae. The record is from RNAcentral.